GAUGAAGAACGCAGCGAAAUGCGAUAAGUAGUGUGAAUUGCAGAAUUCAGUGAAUCAUCGAAUCUUUGAACGCACAUUGCGCCCCUUGGUAUCCCGAGGGGCAUGCCUGUUCGAGCGUCAUUUCACCCCUCAAGCCUGGCUUGGUGUUGGGCGACGUCCUCUUUGGGGACGCGCCUCGAAACGCUCGGCGGCGUGGCACCGGCUUUAAGCGUAGCAGAAUCUUUCGCUUUGGAAGUCGGGGCCCCGUCUGCCGGAAGACCUGCUCGCAAGGUUGACCUCGGAUCAGGCAGGGAUACCCGCUGAACUUAAGCAUAUCAAUAAGCGGAGGA
This 329-nucleotide unclassified non-coding RNA is filed under the name soil metagenome. RNAcentral's name for it is "partial contains 5.8S ribosomal RNA, internal transcribed spacer 2, and large subunit ribosomal RNA". The stretch from base 1 to 120 matches the Rfam family "5.8S ribosomal RNA", at positions 35 to 154 of the family's 154-position model. The record is from RNAcentral.